AUGGCCAUGAGUAUGGCAACCGGCGCCAUGGGCUCCCUGCUGCCCAAGCUGGUCAAGCUCCUCAAGGAGGAGUACAAGCUCAAGGAGAGCGUCAAGGAAGGCGUCCGAUCUCUUGAGGAAGAGAUGAAGAGCAUGCAAGCUGCGCUCCGCAUGGUGGGCGAGGUGCCGCGGGACCAGCUCAACGAGCACGUCAAGAUCUGGGCAGCCGAGGUGAGGGAACUCUCCUUCAAGAUGGAGGACAUCGUCGACAAGUUCUUUGUGCGUGUCGAUGACGGCUCUGAGCCUGCUGCCAGUCCGAAGAAGCUCAAACGGCUCACCAAAAAGAUGGUCGGCCUGUUCACCAAGGGGAAGGCCCGCCAUGAGAUCUCCGAUGCAAUCAAGAGCAUCAAUAAGAAAGUACAAGAGGUUGCUGAUAGGCGUGCAAGGUACAAUGUUGACAAUAUUGUCGCCAGGCCUGCUGCUGUGACUCCCAUCGAUCCUCGCCUUGGGGCUCUAUACAAGGAAGUGACAGAUCUUGUUGGCAUUACGGGCACAAGGGAUAAAGAGAUAAUAAAGUUGCUCUCAGAGGGGGACGACGUGUCCAAGAAAAAGUUGAAGAUCAUCUCUGUUGUUGGAUUUGGAGGACUGGGCAAGACAACUCUUGUCAAAACAGUUUAUGACAAGAUCAAGGGAGAUUUCGAGUGCAGGGCUUUUGUUCCUGUCGGUCGAAAUGCUAAUGCGAAGGAGGUUUUCAUGGACAUCCUGCAUGAGCUUGAUCCUCAAAAGGACAAAGGUCAGCUCACCAUGUUGAAUGAAAGACAACUUAUUGACAAAAUCCAACUACGUCUCGAGAACAAGAGGUACCUCGUUGUAAUUGAUGAUAUAUGGGAUGGAAACUUGUGGACAGUUAUAAACUGGGCAUUCUCCAACAACAACACUUUGGGUAGUCGGCUAAUCACGACAACUCGUAAAGUCGAUGUAGCUGAAUUAUGUUGCACAUCUCCUAAUGGUUCAGUCUAUCAAAUGAAACCUCUUAGUGCUGAUGAUUCCAAACGUCUCUUCUAUAGAAGGUUAUUUUCUCAUGAGAGUGGAUGUCCUCUUGAAUUUGAAGAAGUGUCCAUGGAUAUAUUGAAGAAAUGUGGUGGAGUACCAUUGGCAAUUAUUACAAUAGCUAGUUCUCUGUCUAGUGGCCAGCAGGUAAAGCCAAAGGAUGAGUGGCAUGUUUUGCUAGAGUCUAUUGGCCGUGGACUUACCGAAGACCCCAGUGUAGAGGAGAUGUUGAGGAUACUAUCGUUUAGCUACUAUGACCUGCCUGCUUAUCUGAAGACAUGCUUACUGUAUCUAAGCAUGUUUCCGGAGGAUCACAAGAUCAUGAAAAAUCAAUUGAUAUGGAUGUGGAUUGCCGAGGGUUUUAUCCAAUGUGAAACAACACAAUCUAGUCUCUUUGAGAUUGGAGAAAAUUACUUCAAUGAGCUUGUGAACAGAAGCCUUCUCCAGCCAGUAUAUGUUAAUAAUAUGUCUGGCCAUGUACAUGCCUGUCGUGUGCACGACAGUGUGCUGGAUCUAAUUUGUCUUUUGGCAAGGGAAGAGAACUUUGUUAGUGUAUCGAAUGGUAGCAUCUCAUCUCAGGGCAAUGUCCGCAGGCUGUCCCUCCAGAAGAUUAUCAAAGAAGAACAUGAAACCACACCUCUUGAAUCUGUGAGUAUGCUACAAGUGAGGUCCAUUGCAACAUUUGAACCUGCUAUGGGCCUGAUGUAUCAUCUCUCAAGCUUUGUUGUUUUACGUGUAUUGAAUUUGAGUACAUGCCAACUUUAUGAUCAUAACCUUUGGGGGUUGUGGAGUUUAGUUCACCUGAGGUACCUAGGGCUAUCUGAUACACAACUUUGGGAGCUCCCAGAAGAGGUUGGAAAGUUGCGGUAUUUGCAGGUGUUGGAUUUGAGUGGAAACCUUAGUAUGAAACAACUGCCAUCGAGUAUUACUAAACUGAGAAGAUUGAUGUGCCUACUUUAUGUGAAAACAUGCAAUCGAUUUCCAGAUGAGAUUGGAAACCUGACAUCAAUGGAAGAGUUGAGUUGUAUCCAUGUUGACUCUCUAAACAUUGUGAAAGAGAUGGGCAACUUGAAAAGAUUGAGGAAGUUUGAAGUUGAGUUUGAGCAUUUGAGCUUGGAGUUGCAGGAAGCUUUUUUGAAGUCACUAGGGGAAAUGUCCAACGUCCAAAGUGUAACUAUUACAAUUGAUGGUAGAUAUAAAAUGAUGGAUCUCUUUGGGGAAAAGUGGGUUCCCCCUCGAGGUCUCCGGGAAUUGAAAUCAUGCUUUGGGAGAGAAUUUAGAUUCUCUAGGAUGCCAGCAUGGAUAAGAGAGAACCCCUCGCAGCUGGCGCAGCUCUCACACUUAUUCAUUGCUGUGAAGGAGGUGCAACAGGUUGAUCUGAGACUGCUUGGAAGGUUGCCGGCUCUUGUUAGUCUCUUUUUGAAGAGCCUCCGCCAUGGGCCGCUACUAAUUGACGCUGAUGGGUUCCGUUGUCUAACAGAAUUCACCUUAUGGUCCAGUUCGCCGGGACAAGUCAUGUUCCAGUCAGGAGCUUUGCCCAUGGUGGAUUUGAUUAUUUUCCGUACCGGCCUGCCGGUCGUUGGUGAUUGGGUUGACAUGGGCAUUGAGAACCUGCAGUCGCUUCGGUUGGUCAAUGUCGAAAUCUGCAUUUCGCCAAUGGAAUGUGACUAUGAGGCCGCCCACAAAGUGUAUUCCGUACUAGAGAAUGCAUUGCCUGCCCAUCCUAACAGCCCUAAGUAUGUUGUCCGCAUAACAGUCAACGACAGUGACGAGAACGAGUCAAAGGGUGGUGACGACGACGAGUGGGAGUGA
Molecule: ribosomal RNA, 2841 nt
Filed under: Triticum aestivum (bread wheat)
Lineage: Eukaryota; Viridiplantae; Streptophyta; Magnoliopsida; Poales; Poaceae
Description: partial small subunit ribosomal RNA
Source: RNAcentral